AAAACCCUCUUAAAAGGGAGUGAGUGUUCAUGGAAGGAAAGGACUAGUGUCAUUUCCCUUUUAGCCCAUCAUCGUCAUCGAGUGCCGUAUUGUUUUCAUGGAUCUAGAGCAAAAUCUGGAAUCACUCUCACUCCAAAACAGCGGAGAAACACUAAGUGGAAAGUUGCGGAGAUUGAAGGUUUCUUCGAAUGUGUUCUUCGUUUACCAUGACCAAGAUGGGUUCGGAAACGCCAUCGCCCGAGCUCUCAAUCCUACUCCCCAUCCUUGUAGUAAAGCCUUCGAGUUAGUCGACCUGGAAUUAGGUGAUGCAAAAUUGAAUGCCUCUAUUACUCAAUUUAUGGAUGGAGAAAAUCUAAAGGCAACAAUGGUAAUGUUGGAUCAUUUGGAGCCGCCACUACUGUCACAGGCUAUAAAUUCAGUUCUGACUAAAAUAGCAGAUGCAGAGCACAUACCAUCUACCGUACCCACUAUCAUAGCCCCUUUUCUUGUACCGGCAUCAAAGCUGAGGUUGGAAGGUAGGUUGUUUACAACAAAUAGCGGCAAGCUUCCUCUCUAUAGUAUCCAAGUAGGCCCCGAGACUGAUGUAAGUCGAGCCAUUGCUGCCAAAACCCAGAAGCCACCUCCAUCUUUGCAAAUUCAUUACGAGCCUUUAGCCUGCUUUCUUCACCUGGUCCGUGCUGCAAACUUGCCAACUUCUAUUAUAGUCGGGCAAAGAAGCCAAAGCCCAUUUAAUCAAGCUUUAAGUGAGGACCUGCAGACCCUGUAUGAGAUAGGACAGCUUGCGGCAAGCACGACUGGGACAUACUUCCAGAGAGAGCAAACUAGCACAAAUUGGAUUCCAACAGCAAAGCCAGCAAGUGGUGGUGGUGUUGGAGAGCCAUGGCUUGCAUUCUAUGGUUAAAUGUUUAGGUUUAACAUGCCAAUGGGUGCAUACUGUAGUGAAAACUGGGGCCCAUGCUGUUGGAUUUUGUGGGAUAUAAUACGAAUUGCAGUCAGCUGUGGCUUAAAAUUGAUGAAUGGUGAUCUUAUAUGUUCUAUAGUUGUGGGAUAUAAGGAAGAACUGAAAGGCAUAACUUGUCUCUUUCUUCAUCAGUUGGGAAGUUGAUUUGCAGAGCAGGAAUGAUCAUCAGAACAUUGUUAGGUUCCCCAUUUUAUUUUAUUUUAUUUUAUUGUAUUUUUUCUUUGAUAAAGGUUUGUUAUAUCAGUAUUUAUUGAGUUGUGUGUAAAUUGUGGUACAAAGUGAGGACUUGGAGUAACGUGUAUGUGUAAAUGGUAGAUUAGAUUUCUUCUCAAAUUUGUACAACACUUCUUUAGGUUUGUGGUUGUUUAAAAGUGAAAUAUUACACUCUUUAUAUACUUAAAA
This is an RNA transcript of Gossypium arboreum, 1363 nucleotides long. RefSeq lists it as uncharacterized. The record is from RefSeq and is a predicted model, not a curated record. NCBI's taxonomy places the organism in Eukaryota, Viridiplantae, Streptophyta, Magnoliopsida, Malvales, Malvaceae. The transcript has 5 exons.